RNAcentral lists this ribosomal RNA (479 nucleotides) under uncultured bacterium. Its description in RNAcentral is "partial 16S ribosomal RNA". It matches the Rfam family "Bacterial small subunit ribosomal RNA", at positions 28 to 507 of the family's 1533-position model. The record is from RNAcentral.
GAUGAACGCUGGCGGCGUGCUUAACACAUGCAAGUCGAACGAAGCACUUAAGAUUGAUUCUUCGGAUGACGUCUUUUGUGACUUAGUGGCGGACGGGUGAGUAACGCGUGGGUAACCUGCCUCACACAGGGGGAUAACAGUUAGAAAUGACUGCUAAUACCGCAUAACCCGAUAGGAUCGCAUGAUCCAGACGGAAAAGAUUUAUCGGUGUGAGAUGGACCCGCGGCUGAUUAGCUAGUUGGUGAGGUAACGGCCCACCAAGGCGAGGAUCAGUAGCCGGCAUGAGAGGCUGAACGGACACAUUUGCACGAGGACGCAGCCCAAACUCCUACGGGAGGCAGCAGAGGGUAAUAUUGCACAAUCGGGGAAACCCUGAUGCAGCGACGCCGGGUGAGUGAAGAAGGAUUUCGGUAAGUAAAGCUCUAUCAGCAGGGAAGAAAAUGACGGUACCUGACGAAGAAGCCCCGGCUAACUACGUG